Molecule: ribosomal RNA, 406 nt
Filed under: uncultured bacterium
Lineage: Bacteria
Description: partial 16S ribosomal RNA
Rfam family: Bacterial small subunit ribosomal RNA
Source: RNAcentral
AUUGAACGCUGGCGGCAGGCCUAACACAUGCAAGUCGAACGAGUGGCGGACGGGUGGGUAAUGUCUGGGAAACUGCCUGAUGGAGGGGGAUAACUACUGGAAACGGUAGCUAAUACCGCAUACCCUAGGAUGUGCCCAGAUGGGAUUUGCUAGGAGGUGGGGUAAUGGCUCACCUGGGCGACUAUCCCUAGCUGGUCUGAGAGGAUGACCAGCCACACUGGAACUGAGACACGGUCCAGACUCCUACGGGAGGCAGCAGUGGGGAAUAUUGGACAAUGGGCGCAAGCCUGAUGCAGCCAUGCCGCGUGUGUGAAGAAGGCCUUCGGGUUGUAAAGCACUUUAAGCUAGGAGGCGUUACUCGCAGAAGAAGCACCGGCUAACUCCGUGCCAGCAGCCGCGGUAAUAC